GACGAACGCUGGCGGCGUGCUUAACACAUGCAAGUCGAACGGAAAGGCCCUGCUUUUGUGGGGUGCUCGAGUGGCGAACGGGUGAGUAACACGUGAGUAACCUGCCCUUGACUUUGGGAUAACUUCAGGAAACUGGGGCUAAUACCGGAUAGGAGCCCUGCUGCAUGGUGGGGGUUGGAAAGUUUCGGCGGUUGGGGAUGGACUCGCGGCUUAUCAGCUUGUUGGUGGGGUAGUGGCUUACCAAGGCUUUGACGGGUAGCCGGCCUGAGAGGGUGACCGGCCACAUUGGGACUGAGAUACGGCCCAGACUCCUACGGGAGGCAGCAGUGGGGAAUAUUGCACAAUGGGCGGAAGCCUGAUGCAGCAACGCCGCGUGCGGGAUGACGGCCUUCGGGUUGUAAACCGCUUUCGCCUGUGACGAAGCGUGAGUGACGGUAAUGGGUAAAGAAGCACCGGCUAACUACGUG
Molecule: ribosomal RNA, 467 nt
Filed under: uncultured bacterium
Lineage: Bacteria
Description: partial 16S ribosomal RNA
Rfam family: Bacterial small subunit ribosomal RNA
Source: RNAcentral